UCAUUUUAUUUGCUAGAAGAAUUCAAAUUGCAUUAUAAAAAUGAAAAAAUGCCUGGGAGAAUAUAUAAGCAUUCCUCUUUAACCUUUGUAGUAGCUUAUAGGACUUGAAAAAAGAAAACAUCAUUCUCAUCUUAGGGAAGGCAAGGAGAAGGAUCCAGCUAUGGGCUGCUCAACCUCACCUCGAUCCUCAUAAGAUGAUGUAGAAGGUAUUCUUGGGUCACUUCAUCAAAUACCGUUCUACUGGUUCUACAGGAGUGGCAAGACAUGGGCAGCUACUCCUGCCCUUAGAUAAUACUUCAACCAGCAUAUGCUCUGUGAAGGUUAGGAAUUGGAAUGACUGCGUGCCAGGUGCCCAUGGUAUUUUCAGAAAGAAUGCUCUAUGAGUUCCUUGUAAGCACACAGAGGUGGAUGAGCCACCAGCAGCUGGGCAAUGCAAAAGCAAAGUCAGUACAACUCAUUUUCUGCUUCCAACCUGAAGAGCUUGUUAGCCACUUCCAGCCAUACCUGUCCAACAAAAAAGUACUGCCUUCCUAUAACACAUGUGCAUCUUAAAAAAAAAAAAGCAACAAAACUCAGUCUAGAAGAUUAAUGAAUUGUA
Long non-coding RNA from Tympanuchus pallidicinctus (lesser prairie-chicken), 598 nucleotides. RefSeq lists it as uncharacterized. The record is from RefSeq and is a predicted model, not a curated record. NCBI's taxonomy places the organism in Eukaryota, Metazoa, Chordata, Aves, Galliformes, Phasianidae. The transcript has 2 exons.